GUUCCUACAGGGCAAAUUUUCUUGUUCAUCACCUUAUGCUUAGCACCUAGCUCAGUGCCCAGCAGAACCAACAUUAGAUACCCGUGGAAUGACUAGGAGUGAAAAUGGUGCGGAUGGGGAUCAGAAGCGUGGAGGGAAUGGCUGCUGCUGGGCUAGAUGCUAUGGAAGGACACUAGAUUGUUAACUAUAGGAAGCUCUUCCUGAAUUCCUCAGGCCUCAGAGAAGCUGUUUUCCCAGUGCCUUAAUAAGAACUUGAGCUCUGGAGUUAUACUUGAGUGGCAAGGCAAAGGACAAAUGACCAUGGAGCAGUUAGCCACCAAGGGGCUCAGAGGUUGAGUUAGCGGACACUUGGCAUUCCUAAAAGGCUCCUUCUGACAAUCCAGUUGCUCAGAUUUUAUCAUCUUUAAAAACAAGUAUUUGCUAAGGUCAACUUUGAUGAAGCGGGAUCUGAACAGAAGAACAUACAAGCUGGAACUGGACUCCCAGAGAUUUCAUUGACAUCUUUAACCAGGAGACAUCCCGCAAUAUCUCUGUAAUUACUUACAUAACCCUCUCUCCUACUAAAAUGAAGAAUCUAAAGGGUAGAGAUGAUUUCUUAUUCAUCACACAUAUAGCAGACACUGAAUAAAUGAUAAAUCAAUUGAAC
This is a long non-coding RNA of Myotis myotis, 646 nucleotides long. RefSeq lists it as uncharacterized. NCBI's taxonomy places the organism in Eukaryota, Metazoa, Chordata, Mammalia, Chiroptera, Vespertilionidae. The record is from RefSeq and is a predicted model, not a curated record. The transcript is spliced from 6 exons.